RNAcentral lists this ribosomal RNA (506 nucleotides) under uncultured bacterium. RNAcentral's name for it is "partial 16S ribosomal RNA". It matches the Rfam family "Bacterial small subunit ribosomal RNA", at positions 28 to 523 of the family's 1533-position model. The record is from RNAcentral.
GAUGAACGCUAGCUACAGGCUUAACACACGCAAGUCGAGGGGUAACGAGAGGGAAGCUUGCUUUCCUUGUCGACGACCGGCGCACGGGUGAGUAACGCGUAUCCAACCUGCCCCCAACUAGGGAAUAACCUUGCGAAAGUAAGACUAAUACCCUAUAAUUUCCUCAGAUGUCAUCUGACGAGGAAUAAAGAUUUAUCGGUUGUGGAUGGGGACGCGUCUGAUUAGCUUGUUGGCGGGGUAACGGCCCACCAAGGCAACGAUCAGUAGGGGUUCUGAGAGGAAGGUCCCCCACAUUGGAACUGAGACACGGUCCAAACUCCUACGGGAGGCAGCAGUGAGGAAUAUUGGUCAAUGGGCGGAAGCCUGAACCAGCCAAGUAGCGUGCAGGAUGACGGCCCUAUGGGUUGUAAACUGCUUUUAUACAGGAAUAAAGUUAGCCACGUGUGGUUAUUUGUAGGUACUGUAUGAAUAAGGACCGGCUAAUUCCGUGCCAGCCGCCGCUGUAA